GCUGGGUGCAGUGGUGUACACCUGUAAUCCCAGUGGCUGGGGGAGCUGAGGCAGGAGGAUCGUGAGUUCAAAGCCAGUCUUAGAAAGAGUGAGACCCUGUCUCUA
This 105-nucleotide small RNA is filed under the name Marmota monax (woodchuck). The record is from RNAcentral. Lineage: Eukaryota; Metazoa; Chordata; Mammalia; Rodentia; Sciuridae.